CCUACGGGAGGCUGCAGUAGGGAAUCUUCCACAAUGGGCGAAAGCCUGAUGGAGCAACGCCGCGUGGGUGAAGAAGGUCUUCGGAUCGUAAAACCCUGUUGUUAGAGACGAAAGUGCGUGAGAGUAACUGUUCACGUUUCGACGGUAUCUAAGCAGACAGCCACGGCUAACUACGUGCCAGCAGCCUCGGUAAUACGUAGGUGGCAAGCGUUAUACGGAUUUAUUGGGAGUAACGUGCACGCAGGCGGUCUUUUAAGUCUGAUGUGAAAGCCGUCGGCUUAACCGGAGUAGUGCAUUGGAAACUGGGUGACUUGAGUGCAGAAGAGGAGAGUGGAACUCCAUGUGUAGCGGUGAAAUGCGUAGAUAUAUGGAAGAACACCAGUGGCGAAAGCGGAUCUCUGGUCUGUAACUGACGCUGAGGUGCGAAAGCGUGGGUAGCAAACAGGAUUAGAUACCCCGGUAGUC
This 465-nucleotide ribosomal RNA is filed under the name uncultured bacterium. RNAcentral's name for it is "partial 16S ribosomal RNA". It matches the Rfam family "Bacterial small subunit ribosomal RNA", at positions 338 to 795 of the family's 1533-position model. The record is from RNAcentral.